RNAcentral lists this ribosomal RNA (325 nucleotides) under uncultured eukaryote. RNAcentral describes it as "partial 18S ribosomal RNA". It matches the Rfam family "Eukaryotic small subunit ribosomal RNA", at positions 1470 to 1796 of the family's 1831-position model. The record is from RNAcentral.
CCCUUAGAUGUUCUGGGCCGCACGCGCGCUACACUGACUGGUGCAACAAGUGUCGCUCCUUGGCCGAUAGGCCUGGGCAAUCUUUGAACGCCAGCCGUGAUGGGGAUAGAUUCUUGCAAUUUUUGAUCUUCAACGAGGAAUUCCUAGUAAACGCGAGUCAUCAACUCGCAUUGAUUACGUCCCUGCCCUUUGUACACACCGCCCGUCGCACCUACCGAUUGAAUGGUCCGGUGAACCCUCCGGAUCGGCCCGCGCCAACGCAAGUUGAGCAAAGGCCGAGAAGUUGGGUAAACCUUACCAUUUAGAGGAAGGUGAAGUCGUAACA